Molecule: ribosomal RNA, 440 nt
Filed under: uncultured bacterium
Lineage: Bacteria
Description: partial 16S ribosomal RNA
Rfam family: Bacterial small subunit ribosomal RNA
Source: RNAcentral
CCUACGGGAGGCAGCAGUGGGGAAUAUUGCACAAUGGGGGAAACCCUGAUGCAGCGACGCCGCGUGAGCGAAGAAGUAUUUCGGUACGUAAAGCUCUAUCAGCAGGGAAGAAAAUGACGGUAACUGAGUAAGAAGCACCGGCUAAAUACGUGCCAGCAGCCGCUGUAAUACGUAUGGAGCAAGCGUUAGCCGGAUUUACUGGGCGGAAAGGGAGCGCAGGCGGCCUGCCAAGUCUGAUGUGAAAUACGGGGGCUCAACCCCGGGGCUGAAUUGGAAACUGGCAGGCUGGAGUGCCGGAGAGGCGGGCGGAAUUCCUAGUGUAGCGGUGAAAUGCGUAGAUAUUAGGAGGAACACCAGUGGCGAAGGCGGCCUGCUGGACUGUAACUGACGCUGAGGCACGAAAGCGUGGGGAGCGAACAGGAUUAGAUACCCGGGUAGUC